RNAcentral lists this ribosomal RNA (463 nucleotides) under uncultured organism. RNAcentral describes it as "partial 16S ribosomal RNA". It matches the Rfam family "Bacterial small subunit ribosomal RNA", at positions 329 to 800 of the family's 1533-position model. The record is from RNAcentral.
ACGUACACUCCUGCGGGAGGCAGCAGUGGGGAAUAUUGCACAAUGGGCGCAAGCCUGAUGCAGCGACGCCGCGUGGGGGAUGAAGGCCUUCGGGUUGUAAACUCCUUUCGCUAGGGACGAAGCUUUUUUGUGACGGUACCUAGAUAAGAAGCACCGGCUAACUACGUGCCAGCAGCCGCGGUAAUACGUAGGGUGCGAGCGUUGUCCGGAAUUACUGGGCGUAAAGGGCUCGUAGGUGGUUUGUCGCGUCGUCUGUGAAAUUCUGGGGCUUAACUCCGGGCGUGCAGGCGAUACGGGCAUAACUUGAGUGCUGUAGGGGUAACUGGAAUUCCUGGUGUAGCGGUGAAAUGCGCAGAUAUCAGGAGGAACACCGAUGGCGAAGGCAGGUUACUGGGCAGUUACUGACGCUGAGGAGCGAAAGCAUGGGUAGCGAACAGGAUUAGAAACCCCAGUAGUCCCAUGA